Piliocolobus tephrosceles (Ugandan red Colobus) is the source of this 2444-nucleotide long non-coding RNA. The record is from Ensembl. Lineage: Eukaryota; Metazoa; Chordata; Mammalia; Primates; Cercopithecidae.
UAAAAAAAAAAAACAUCUUUGUUUACACAUUUAUGCUAGCGUGUCAAUAAUGUGCUGUUUACAUAAUUUAUAAGAUUUAUCAUUUAUUCAUUUAUCAUUUAUUUAUUUAUUUAUUUAUUUAUUUUUUUUUUUUUACAUUUUAUGUUUAAUAAAUAUGUUCUGUUUACUUUAUAUUUAAAAGUUAACAUUAUUGACAUUUAGUUUAUUUUUUCAAUUUUUUAAAAUUUUAUAUUAGUAACAUUAAAUUUUCAAAAAAAAAAAAAGAAAAAAACAGUAUUUCACAUACUGUGGGAUUUAUUAUUUUCAUAAAUAAUAGUAAAACAUAAUUACAUACCUAAAUAAAUAUAUGCACCUACAUAAAUACAUACUUACAUAAAUAUGUACUUAGAUAGAUAUAUACUACUUAUAUAACUAUAUUAUUUACAUACAGUUAUAUGUUCUAUGUGUAUAUAAUAUACGCACAAAUAGAUAGAAAAAAUAAAUGAUUUUAAUAUUUUAUUUAUUUAUAUAUUUCAUUCUAUUUGAAAUUUUAUAAAAUAUUAUUUCUAUAUUUUAAAUAUUGUCUUUAUAUUUAUGAUAAAUAAUUUUAAAUUAAACAUUUUUAAUUCAAAGUUAGCCAAAAACUACGAUAAUAAAGGCAGCAGUAACAACAACAAAAAAAAAAAAAAAAAAAAAAAAAAAACACUUUAGUCAGUUUAUCUUUUAUUAUAUCACAUUUUAUAUAUUCCCAACAAAUUGAUUAAGAUAAAAUAAGUAGAUAUAUAUAUGUACAUACCCCUCCACUUGUCCAUUUUGUUAUUGUAAAAACAUUAAAAUGACUAAUACCUUAAGUAAAGAAAAAAUGAAAAGCGAAUUGGAAGAAAAAAUAAAAACAUGGAAAGAAGUAUCUCAACAUAAGGGAUUACAAAAUAUGUCAAUAGAAAGAUGUUUUAUUAACGUUCAUCAUAAUGAACAUAAUUUUAAAUUAAGAAGGAUGCGUACCAUAGAUACAGGUGACUUAUUAUGUCAUCCUAGAUUAUAUGAGUUACCUAAAAGAAAACUACUUAAUUUGGAUGAAGUUGAAAAUGAUGAAUCUACCAAUGGACAGGAAGAAUCAUAUAUUAAUGAUACGUCUUUAAUGGAUAAUUCUGAUUUUGCUUUUAAAGGAAUUAGCGAAUCAACGUCGUACGGAAGUAGUAUUAAUGGGAGUAAUGAUAUUAGUAAGGUUUCUGAAAAUGGUAAAUAUAAUAAUACUACAAUUGAGAUGGAACCUACCACAGAUAAUAACAGAAGCAUAACAGACGUAAAACACAAAACAGACGCACCAUCACUAAAAACUGGAAGAACCGGAAAAGCCUCACAAAUCGGAAGAAAUUUUCACUUAAACCCCAUCGGAGAACUAUCCUUUGGUACACAAUUCCACUUGAUAGGAUGUUAUUUGGCUGAGUUAUGUCGAUUUUGUCACGACUCUUCACAUGCCCCUGAGGGUACCACGCGUGUAAUCCCUGAUUUUCAAACUUUAGUCACUACGCGUGAUAAACUACAAAAUAGUUUACUAUCCAGCAUACUUGCAAGUUAUAAAACAAAUGCUAGCUGUUCGGUUAAUUCUAAGCGCCCUAAUAACACAUGUAAAGAUAAAUCUUCUAAAGCUUAUCAUAAUAAAAAUAGUAAUAAAAACCAAAUGAAUAGCAAUCAAAACAAUUCACGUGUUAAUAAAAAAAAAUUUAACAAGGUUGCUACCUUUGAAAAUAAUAAAAAAUUAAAUAAUUACACAAGUACAUCAGUCAAUUAUCAAAAUAUAAAUAUAAAAAAUAUGGUAAUUAAUUAUAAAAAUAAUCAGUAUAUACACGUAAAUAAUGUUCAAAACGAAAAUAUAAUUCAGCUUCAAUGCUCUAAUAGCAAUACAUGUGUAGAUCCCCAUCAACAAAAUAUGUGUAAUAAUGCUUAUAGUUGUAAUCAACCUAUUCUUACAAGAGUGCCAAACUAUUUGCAAUUUAUCACAUUAGCAAAUUAUCCACAGAAUGUUAAUAUAAUUAACAGUUAUGGUUAUAGACAGUACAACUAUUUUAAUAUGUACAAUAAUUUUCACUUCAUGCAAAAUGUUAGCUCUUACAAGGAAUUCAACUUAGUUUCAUGAAAAAGGUUGAAAAAAAAAAAAAAAAAAAAAAAGCGACAUGUGCGUACAUAUUAUAUAUAUAUUAACUAGUGAAUCGCUUAUUUUAUUUUAUUUUAUUAUUUUUUUUUUUUUUUUUUUUUUUUACACUUCCUUAUUGAGCCAUAACUUUAAAUAUAGUAUAUAUGUAUACAUGGUAUAUCUGUAUAUAUAGUUAUACAUUUUUGUGUUUGAGCGUGUUAGUAGGAACUCGUACGUAAUUGCACCUACACCGCCGUUUGUCAUACUCACGUUAGGCAUCAAUAUAUAUAUAUAUAUAUAUAUAUAUAUAAGUAAACUAAGCACAUUAUAU